UUUCUUCAAAAAAGCUGUUAGCCACAUGGAAUUUAAAAUUUUUGUGGGGUAUAAUAUUGAAGACAUUGUUUCAUCUGUUCAACAGUCUAUUCUGGAAGUUUCCAGUCUUCAUGCACCGAUCAUGCAAAGUGCCAAGUGCAAAGGAA
Molecule: long non-coding RNA, 146 nt
Organism: Thalassophryne amazonica
Lineage: Eukaryota; Metazoa; Chordata; Actinopteri; Batrachoidiformes; Batrachoididae
Exons: 3
Source: RefSeq, a predicted model, not a curated record